This 497-nucleotide ribosomal RNA is filed under the name uncultured bacterium. Its description in RNAcentral is "partial 16S ribosomal RNA". It matches the Rfam family "Bacterial small subunit ribosomal RNA", at positions 28 to 507 of the family's 1533-position model. The record is from RNAcentral.
GAUGAACGCUGGCGGCGUGCCUAAUACAUGCAAGUCGAGCGGACAGAUGAGGAUCUUGCUCCUCUGACGUUAGCGGCGGACGGGUGAAUAACACGUGUAUAACCUACCUAUAAGACUGGUAUAACUUCGGGACACCGGCGCAAAUACCGGAUAAUAUCUUGCACCGCAUGGUUCAAUAGUGAGAUACGGUUGUGCUGUCACGUCUAGAUGGAUCCGCGCCGCAUUAGCUAGUAGGUAAGGUACCGGCUUACCAAGGCAACGAUGCGUAGCCGACCUGAGAGGGGGAUCGGCCACACUGGAACUGAAACGCGGUCCAGACUCCUAAGGGAGGCAGCAGUAGGGAAUCUUCCGCAAUGGGCGAAAGCCUGACGGAGCAACGCCGCGUGAGUGAUGAAGGCCCUCGGAUCGUAAAAAUCUGUUAUUAGGGAAGAACAAAUGUGUAAGUAACUAUGCACGUCUUGACGGUACCUAAUCAGAAAGCCACGGCUAACUACGUG